GGGCGGAUACCAGAGCGGUCAAAUGGGGCAGGCUGUAACCCUGCUGGCUUAUGCCUUCGUGGGUUCGAAUCCCUCUCCUCCCACCA
Molecule: transfer RNA, 86 nt
Filed under: Candidatus Altimarinota bacterium
Lineage: Bacteria; Candidatus Altimarinota
Description: tRNA-Tyr
Rfam family: tRNA
About the family: Transfer RNA (tRNA) molecules are approximately 80 nucleotides in length.
Source: RNAcentral